This 253-nucleotide ribosomal RNA is filed under the name uncultured bacterium. Its description in RNAcentral is "partial 16S ribosomal RNA". It matches the Rfam family "Bacterial small subunit ribosomal RNA", at positions 524 to 776 of the family's 1533-position model. The record is from RNAcentral.
UACGGGGGGGGCAAGCGUUGUUCGGAAUUACUGGGCGUAAAGGGCGCGUAGGCGGUUCGCUAAGUCGAAUGUGAAAACUCUGGGCUUAACCCAGAGCCUGCAUCCGAAACUGGCGGACUAGAGUUCUGGAGGGGAUAGCGGAAUUCCUGGUGUAGCGGUGAAAUGCGUAGAUAUCAGGAGGAACACCGGUGGCGAAGGCGGUUAUCUGGACAGAAACUGACGCUGAGGCGCGAAAGCUAGGGGAGCAAACAGG